This 205-nucleotide unclassified non-coding RNA is filed under the name Hevea brasiliensis (rubber tree). The record is from RNAcentral. Lineage: Eukaryota; Viridiplantae; Streptophyta; Magnoliopsida; Malpighiales; Euphorbiaceae.
GGAACCCAGUUUGGACAGGCUUCAAGUAGAGGAAUUUACGGUGUGGGAAAGAAAGGAAAGAAGUGGAAAGGCCAGCAGAUACUAAGGUUUUUCCUAAGGAAGUGUUGGCAGCCCAUAUGGUAUAGAUUGGGUGGCUGAGUGGGUAUUCAAUGGAGGGCAAUGCUGGUUGUGAAUGCGUUGAAAUAAAGCGGCGUACAGAAUUCCG